This 233-nucleotide long non-coding RNA is filed under the name Phoenix dactylifera (date palm). Its description in RNAcentral is "long non-coding RNA (PDAC_LNC005841)". Lineage: Eukaryota; Viridiplantae; Streptophyta; Magnoliopsida; Arecales; Arecaceae. The record is from RNAcentral.
UGACCUAACCGAACAUUAAUAGCUAGGUCAAGUUUGGGUUGACGAAUUUUUGACCUGACCUGUUUCUGACCUAACCGAACCCAAACCCCAUCCCUAACUCUACCCAUCAUAGAUAGAGCCUUCUACUCCUAACCAUCCUAUCUAUUUAAAAACUAUUGUGUUAGGCGACUACACUCCACUAAACAUGGUUUCUUACUAGAAAUAAGGGCCCCUAGAUAUUGCCAUGUACCCUC